This 28-nucleotide non-coding RNA is filed under the name Mus musculus (house mouse). Lineage: Eukaryota; Metazoa; Chordata; Mammalia; Rodentia; Muridae. The record is from RNAcentral.
UGAUGACCAUUAUUUAUAUCACUACCUC